RNAcentral lists this ribosomal RNA (253 nucleotides) under uncultured bacterium. RNAcentral's name for it is "partial 16S ribosomal RNA". It matches the Rfam family "Bacterial small subunit ribosomal RNA", at positions 524 to 776 of the family's 1533-position model. The record is from RNAcentral.
UACAGAGGGUGCAAGCGUUGUUCGGAAUCAUUGGGCGUAAAGCGCGUGUAGGCGGUCCGGUAAGUCCGCUGUGAAAGUCGAGGGCUCAACCCUCGAAUGCCGGUGGAUACUGUCGGGCUUGAGUACGGGAGAGGCGAGUGGAAUUCCUGGUGUAGCGGUGAAAUGCGCAGAUAUCAGGAGGAACACCGAUUGCGAAGGCAGCUCGCUGGAACGUUACUGACGCUGAGACGCGAAAGCGUGGGGAGCAAACAGG